GGACUCGCGCGGUGGAGGCCCAGGCGGCGUUUGCGGCCCAGAGCCCAGACCCAACCCGGACGUUCCACCGCCUGCGGCUCGGCACUUUCGCGGCCCUGCAAGGGCCCGCGGGCCGGGGCUGCGGACGCUCGCUUGGCUCGGCAGAAUCUGCUGGCUCGCGGAAUUCGCCCGCCUCCAUUGUUGCCCCUUCUGGCACCCACAUCCCCGGAACGUGGCCCUGCCCCACGGCCGUAAUUGUUCUCCGAAGGGCUCGGCGCUCCUUUUACCAGCCCUUCCCCUUUUUAAAGGACUUUCCCAUUCGCCUGCUUUUCCCCCCCCGGGUUAGUGGUGCUGGGCCCCCCGCAUUUGGGGUGACGACUCAUCCCACCCUCACCCCCGUCUCGCAACUGAGAUAACCUGCACAUGAGAGGGGGCAGCGGCCCCAUUUAUGCGAACUGUUCAUUUGCUUAGAUCGGAACCGUGUGUUUUGUGGCUGUGAGUUAAAACGUGGAGGUCCAGGAAGUGACUGGCUAAAGGCAAAUCCUAUGACUUUAUCCCAAAAUGUAGGCCCGUCUUCCAGAUGACUCACGUGGUACAGUGGCUUACUCCAGAUGAGAUGGCUAUAUAGUUUGCCGUUUCUUGACCAUUUGUUGAAGAGUUCACUUCGAGACUGUUUUGUUCCGAUGGCCUAUCUAUUCAUGCUCCAGUUGCUGAACAAGCCAGAAUAUAAAUAUACCUUUGUUUAAGACUCUCUGUUUGCAUGUAACGGAAACCAACCUGAAACAGCUUAACCAAAAGGGAAGAAUUUAUCAUAAGGAUGUAGGAACUUCUUACAAAUGCCCAGAGCAGGAAGACAGCUACCUCCUAGCAAAAGACUAGAACCAGGAGUUGGAAAACUUCCAGGAACCCAAAAGGAGAAUACAGCCACCUCCACAUUCAGCUAGGAAGUCAGCUCAGUGUGGGCGUCAGAGCCCAAACAAGGAGGGUAGGGAGGCGGUCCUGCAGAGUCAGGUGACUAAUCAAAGACAGGGGGACUACACAAAGAAACACUAUGUCAAGGAUAAUGGGAGCCAGAUUUCUCAUUCUUAAAAUACAGGAAAGGGAAUAGCAAGAAGGCUUGAGGGAUUGCAUUGGAAUUGGAAAUACUGAUGUGAAUACGACGUUUGCAAUAUGUGUAGAUAUAAAAAUAAAUAUAAAUGUGAAAGUAUC
This 1188-nucleotide long non-coding RNA is filed under the name Sus scrofa (pig). RNAcentral's name for it is "lncRNA (ENSSSCG00040065200.1)". Lineage: Eukaryota; Metazoa; Chordata; Mammalia; Artiodactyla; Suidae. The record is from RNAcentral.